UACCCGCAGCACAAGUGGUGGUCAUUAUUAUUGGGCCUAAAGCGUCCGUAGCUGGCCUGUUAGAUGCCUGGGUAAAUCGAUGCGCUCAACGUAUCGAACUCCGGGUAGACCGGCAGGCUUGGGACCGGGAGAGGCGUGAGCUACUCGGGGGGUAAGGGUAAAAUCCUGUAAUCCUCCGGGGAGGACCAGUGGCGAAGGCGUCACGCUAGAACGGCUCCGACAGUGAGGGACGAAGCCCUGGGGCGCAAACCGG
This 253-nucleotide ribosomal RNA is filed under the name uncultured bacterium. RNAcentral describes it as "partial 16S ribosomal RNA". It matches the Rfam family "Archaeal small subunit ribosomal RNA", at positions 474 to 727 of the family's 1478-position model. The record is from RNAcentral.